Molecule: ribosomal RNA, 578 nt
Filed under: Lodderomyces elongisporus
Lineage: Eukaryota; Fungi; Ascomycota; Pichiomycetes; Serinales; Debaryomycetaceae
Description: eukaryotic LSU rRNA
Rfam family: Eukaryotic large subunit ribosomal RNA
Source: RNAcentral
CCAACUUCAUUGCCUUAGUAGCGGCGAGUGAAGCGGCAAUAGCUCAAAUUUGAAAUCUGGCACUUUCAGUGUCCGAGUUGUAAUUUGAAGAAGGUAUCUUUGGGUCUAGCUCUUGUCUAUGUUUCUUGGAACAGAACGUCACAGAGGGUGAGAAUCCCGUGCGAUGAGAUGUCUAGAUCUAUGUAAAGUUCCUUCGAAGAGUCGAGUUGUUUGGGAAUGCAGCUCUAAGUGGGUGGUAAAUUCCAUCUAAAGCUAAAUAUUGGCGAGAGACCGAUAGCGAACAAGUACAGUGAUGGAAAGAUGAAAAGAACUUUGAAAAGAGAGUGAAAAAGUACGUGAAAUUGUUGAAAGGGAAGGGCUUGAGAUCAGACUUGGUAUUUUGUAUGUUACUCUCUCGGGGGUGGCCUCUACAGUUUACCGGGCCAGCAUCAGUUUGAGCGGUAGGAGAAUUGCGUAGGAAUGUGGCUCGGCCUCGGUCGAGUGUUAUAGCCUUCGUCGAUACUGCCAGCUUAGACUGAGGACUGCGGCUUCGGCCUAGGAUGUUGGCAUAAUGAUCUUAAGUCGCCCGUCUUGACCAC